AGAACGAACGCUGGCGGCAGGCCUCAAACAUGCAAGUCUAGGGGGCGUAGCAAUACGUCACCGGCGGACGGGUGCGUAACACGUGGGAAUGUACUUAUUGGUUCGGAACAACUCAGGGAAACUUGAGCUAAUACCGAAUGUGCCCGAAAGGGGAAAGAUUUAUCGCCAGUAAAUCAGCCCGCGUCCGAUUAGCUAGUUGGUGGGGUAAAGGCUCACCAAGGCAACGAUCGGUAGCUGUUCUGAGAGGAAGAUCAGCCACACUGGGACUGAGACACGGCCCAGACUCCUACGGGAGGCAGCAGUUGGGAAUCUUGGACAAUGGGGGAAACCCUGAUCCAGCCAUGCCGCGUGAGUGAUGAAGGCCUUCGGGUUGUAAAACUCUUUCGACGGGGACGAUAAUGACGGUACCGUAGAAGAAGCUCCGGCUAACUUCGUGCCAGCAGCCGC
This 447-nucleotide ribosomal RNA is filed under the name uncultured bacterium. RNAcentral describes it as "SSU rRNA". It matches the Rfam family "Bacterial small subunit ribosomal RNA", at positions 26 to 518 of the family's 1533-position model. The record is from RNAcentral.